GACGAACGCUGGCGGCGUGCUUAACACAUGCAAGUCGAACGGAAAGGCCCUGCUUUUGUGGGGUGCUCGAGUGGCGAACGGGUGAGUAACACGCGAGUAACCUGCCCUUGACUUUGGGAUAACUUCAGGAAACUGGGGCUAAUACCGGAUAGGAGCUCCUGCUGCAUGGUGGGGGUUGGAAAGUUUCGGCGGUUGGGGAUGGACUCGCGGCUUAUCAGCUUGUUGGUGGGGUAGUGGCUUACCAAGGCUUUGACGGGUAGCCGGCCUGAGAGGGUGACCGGCCACAUCGGGACUGAGAUACGGCCCAGACUCCUACGGGAGGCAGCAGUGGGGAAUAUUGCACAAUGGGCGGAAGCCUGAUGCAGCAACGCCGCGUGCGGGAUGACGGCCUUCGGGUUGUAAACCGCUUUCGCCUGUGACGAAGCGUGAGUGACGGUAAUGGGUAAAGAAGCACCGGCUAACUACGUG
RNAcentral lists this ribosomal RNA (468 nucleotides) under uncultured bacterium. RNAcentral describes it as "partial 16S ribosomal RNA". It matches the Rfam family "Bacterial small subunit ribosomal RNA", at positions 28 to 507 of the family's 1533-position model. The record is from RNAcentral.